CGCCGAGAACAUGGCCGGAGGCAAAGCUGGAAAGGACAGUGGGAAGGCCAAGGCUAAGGCAGUAUCUCGCUCACAGAGAGCUGGGCUACAGUUUCCUGUGGGCCGCAUCCACAGACACUUGAAGACUCGCACCACAAGCCAUGGAAGGGUGGGUGCCACUGCUGCCGUGCACAGGGCUGCGAUUCCGGGGUACCUCACUGCAGAGGUGCUGGAGCUGGCAGCUUGGCCCCAAGUGUGGAAGGCUCCAGCUUCCUUCCCCGCCGCAGGAUCCUAUUACUUCUUUGUUCUGUUUGAACUCUGCAGACUCUAAAGUGAAGUGAGUCGGUGGAAAACCUGGCUGGAUCUCAAGAAUACAGCCUGCGUCUGAGUCCCAUGAAUCUCCCCGCAGCUUAAGGCCUCCUGUGAGCAGAGCGGAUACUGUAAAGCCCUCUCAAAGACACUAAUAACUAGAAGUGGGACUGUAGCUCCAAAGUGGCUUUUUUUUCCCCUUUCCCCCGUGUAACUUGCUGGAAGCACUUCGUAUUUCUUUAUUUCUUUGUGGAAUAAAAAAAAUUUGUUUGUAAUUCCAUGAGAAUUAGAAAGGCUUGUCUCAACUUCUGAGUUGGUACUUGACAUUCAGAUACUAAAUUUACUAGAGGAAGCACUUUUGCUAGAUUAACCAACGAUGGAUUUUUCUUCACAAUUGCGUGUUAAUUUGCUCCCUCUUUGAGAUGUCAAUUUUUGGUUUUAGCAACACAGCCCACCCCAUAGAUCAGCAGAUCUGUGAGUGUGGAUUCAGUUGUUAGCAUCACGGGGCAGGGGUCCCUGGACUGCAUGUGCCUUUGUAUUAAUUGACUAGACUUGCAGUUAUAUUAAUUCUACUUGUGGUUGUUUAAAUUGUGCCUACUUGCACCUUACUUGUUGAGUCAAGAUAACAGGGGUUAUAUAAACGAGUUUAUAAUAUAUUUGGCUUAUCCUGCUCCUCGUCUGGCUCUGAUAAAAUUUUAAACGUUCAUUUUUCUUUCUUUCUGUCUCCCAAGUCGUUUCUGAAAGGCAAGACGUUAGACUAAAACCAACUUCUAUACUUAAGAUUAUCCUUGAAAUAGUUACGAAUAUGUUCAGGAAACAAAGCCUUGCUCAUUAUGUGCUAGAACAAUGGGUAAACUUUGCUUUCUUGUAGAGAAGAAAAUGUUUUCUUCAAUAAGAUAUCGGAAACUAUUUUUGUACUUGAGAAAUCAUGUUACUAGAGACCUAAAAGAUCCGCAUUUUGUGGCUGUUUAAGAAAGCUACACAAGAUGGCGCCAGAGAGCCGGAGUGGAGAGGGAUGCGCGCCCCGCACGAAAAGCUCAGCGCCAAAGGGGCGCCCGGGGCGGGCAGGCGCGUGUACCGGUUCUGCGGCGGGGCGGCUGGGCAGGGGCGCUUUGCCCAUCCUCACAGCUUCCGCUCUCUCCGGGCAACCUUUUCACCAGCUUCGCACAGACUUUCCGCCCGGCACCGUCCUUGGGUCCUCGGGGUCUCUGGAGCGGCCUGGAGGAGCCGCUGGAGAAGGAAGGGGGAGAAAGCAGCGGCGGAGGCGGAGGCUUCCUCAGGCCCACUUCGAAGCAGGGCGCCCGGCCGAGCCUCUGAGGAAAGCGCGCGCGGGACGCGGAUGGGUCUCGGCCUCCAGGGGCCGCGGGAAGGGAGAGGAGGAGGGCGAGGGGAAGCGGCGCUCGCGCCCGGACUCCGGCCAUUCCUCAGCGGUCCACCGCAGCUGGCGUUCUUCUUUGAUCCCCGGAGUUCUCAAUGAAAGAACGGAGAAAGUGGCUUAAAAAAUUGUGGUUGAAUACACACAACAGAAAAUUUACCAUCUUAACCAGUUCGGUGGCAUGGAGUGCACUCAGCCGUUGCGUAUAUGGGCGAGUGUCGCCACUGCCCAUCUCCAGAACGCUUCAUCAAAGGGGACGAAACAUCGCGUCCGUGAAAUGAUAACUCCCGCUCCCCUCUCCCCGCUCUCCCCGGCCCUGGCAGCCAAGCGUGCUCUUUCUGUCUGGAGGAAUCUAACCACUCUCCGCACCCCAUAGAAGCGGAAUGCCACAGUCCCAUUUGUCCUUUUGUGAUGGACUGACUUCACUUAGCAUCAUGGCCUCAAGGCUCAUUCCUGCUGUAGCCUGUGCCAGAAUUGCCUGCCUUUUAAUAAGCCUGAAUCAUAUUCCUGUGUGUGUGUGUGUGUGUGUGUGUGUGUGUAUCACCACAUUUUGCCACUUUUACGUAUAGACCACAUAUCUUUCUUCCUUUUUUAAAAAAAUUAUUUUUUAUUUCAAUAGUUUUUGGGGUACAGGUGGCGUUCGGUUGUGUGGAUACAUUCUUUUUUUUGGGGGGCAGAGUCUUGCUCUGUCGCCCAGGCUGGAGUACAGUGGCAGGAUCUCGGCUCACUGCAAUCUUCCCCUCCUGGGUUCAAGCGAUCCUCCUGCCUCAGUCUCCCGAGUAGCUGGGACUACAGGCACCUGCCACCACGCCCAGCUAAUUUUUGUAUUUUUAGUGGAGACGGGGCUUCACCACUUUGGCCAGGCAGGUCUUGAACUCCUGACCUCAGGUGAUCCGACUGCCUCUGCCUCCCAAAGUGCUAGGAUUACAGGAGUGAGCCACCGUGCCCAGCCAUGUGGAUACAUUCUUCAGCCUUGAUUUCUGAGAUAUUAGUGCACCUGUUACUGAAGCAGUGUAUGCUGUACCCAAUGUGUAGUCUUUUAUACCUCGCCCCCCGACCAGCCUUCCCCUGCAAGUCCCCAGAGUCCAUUAUAUCACUCUUAUGCCUUUGCCUACUUAUAGCUUACCUCCC
Long non-coding RNA from Homo sapiens (human), 2794 nucleotides. The record is from Ensembl. Lineage: Eukaryota; Metazoa; Chordata; Mammalia; Primates; Hominidae.